RNAcentral lists this ribosomal RNA (253 nucleotides) under uncultured bacterium. RNAcentral's name for it is "partial 16S ribosomal RNA". It matches the Rfam family "Bacterial small subunit ribosomal RNA", at positions 524 to 776 of the family's 1533-position model. The record is from RNAcentral.
UACGUAGGGUGCGAGCGUUAAUCGGAAUUACUGGGCGUAAAGCGUGCGCAGGCGGUGAGCUGUGUCCGAUGUGAAAGCCCCGGGCUUAACCUGGGAAUGGCAUUGGAAACUGGCUCGCUGGAGUGUGGCAGAGGGGGGUGGAAUUCCGCGUGUAGCAGUGAAAUGCGUAGAGGUGCGGAGGAACACCGAUGGCGAAGGCAGCCCCCUGGGCUAACACUGACGCUCAGGCACGAAAGCGUGGGGAGCAAACAGG